This 253-nucleotide ribosomal RNA is filed under the name uncultured bacterium. RNAcentral describes it as "partial 16S ribosomal RNA". It matches the Rfam family "Bacterial small subunit ribosomal RNA", at positions 524 to 776 of the family's 1533-position model. The record is from RNAcentral.
UACGUAGGGGGCAAGCGUUGUUCGGAUUUACUGGGCGUAAAGGGCGCGUAGGCGGCGUGGUAAGUCACUUGUGAAAUCUCCGAGCUUAACUCGGAACGGUCAAGUGAUACUGCUGUGCUAGAGUGCAGAAAGGGCAAUCGGAAUUCUUGGUGUAGCGGUGAAAUGCGUAGAUAUCAAGAGGAACACCUGAGGCGAAGGCGGGUUGCUAGGCUGACACUGACGCUGAUGCGCGAAAGCUAGGGUAGCAAACGGG